RNAcentral lists this ribosomal RNA (504 nucleotides) under uncultured bacterium. RNAcentral's name for it is "bacterial SSU rRNA". It matches the Rfam family "Bacterial small subunit ribosomal RNA", at positions 9 to 524 of the family's 1533-position model. The record is from RNAcentral.
GAGUUUGAUCGUGGCUCAGGACGAACGCUGGCGGCGCGCCUAACACAUGCAAGUCGAACGGAGAUACUUAAAAGUUUACUUUUGAGUAUCUUAGUGGCGGACGGGUGAGUAACACGUGAGCAACCUACCCUUCAGUGUGGAAUAACGAUUGGAAACGAUCGCUAAUACCGCAUAACAUCUUGGGACCGCAUGGUUCUGGGAUCAAAGAUUUAUCGCUGAGGGAUGGGCUCGCGGCCGAUUAGCUAGAUGGUGAGGUAACGGCCCACCAUGGCGACGAUCGGUAGCCGGACUGAGAGGUUGAACGGCCACAUUGGGACUGAGACACGGCCCAGACUCCUACGGGAGGCAGCAGUGGGGAAUAUUGCACAAUGGGGGAAACCCUGAUGCAGCGACGCCGCGUGAAGGAAGAAGUAUCUCGGUAUGUAAACUUCUAUCAGCAGGGAAGAAAAUGACGGUACCUGACUAAGAAGCCCCGGCUAACUACGUGCCAGCAGCCGCAGUAAG